GAUCCCGUGGUCUAGUGGUUAGAGCAUCCGCCUCAGAUGCGGAAGGUCAUGGGUUUGAUCCCCAGUUGAGUCA
Potamilus streckersoni is the source of this 73-nucleotide non-coding RNA. The record is from the annotation of a GenBank genome assembly. NCBI's taxonomy places the organism in Eukaryota, Metazoa, Mollusca, Bivalvia, Unionida, Unionidae.